This 495-nucleotide ribosomal RNA is filed under the name uncultured bacterium. RNAcentral describes it as "SSU rRNA". It matches the Rfam family "Bacterial small subunit ribosomal RNA", at positions 26 to 521 of the family's 1533-position model. The record is from RNAcentral.
AGGACGAACGCUGGCGGCGUGCUUAACACAUGCAAGUGGAGCGACGAACCAGGGCUUGCCCUGGGGCAGAGCCGCGAACGGGUGAGUAACACGUGGGUUACCUGCCUCGAUGACCGGGACAACCCGAGGAAACUCGGGCUAAUACCGGAUGUGCCCGCAAGGGGAAAGGAAGCUUCGGCCUCCGCAUCGAGAUGGGCCCGCGGCCCAUUAGCUUGUUGGUGAGGUAAAGGCUCACCAAGGCUUCGAUGGGUAGCUGGUCUGAGAGGACGAUCAGCCACACUGGGACUGAGACACGGCCCAGACUCCUACGGGAGGCAGCAGUGGGGAAUCUUGCGCAAUGCGCGAAAGCGUGACGCAGCAACGCCGCGUGGGGGAAGAAGGCUUUCGGGUUGUAAACCCCUUUCAGUUGGGACGAAGCUCCGCCGGUGAAUAGCCGGACGGAGUGACGGUACCUUCACAAGAAGCACCGGCUAACUACGUGCCAGCAGCCGCGGU